UGGAGUGACCGACUGUCUUGGUUUGCCUGGGACUGAGGGCGUACUCAGGAUGCAGGACUUUCAGUGCUAAAUC
Molecule: microRNA precursor, 73 nt
Filed under: Mustela putorius furo (domestic ferret)
Lineage: Eukaryota; Metazoa; Chordata; Mammalia; Carnivora; Mustelidae
Description: miRNA (ENSMPUG00000023700.1)
Source: RNAcentral